UACGUAGGUGGCAAGCGUUAUCCGGAUUUAUUGGGCGUAAAGGGAACGCAGGCGGUCUUUUAAGUCUGAUGUGAAAGCCUUCGGCUUAACCGGAGUAGUGCAUUGGAAACUGGGAGACUUGAGUGCAGAAGAGGAGAGCGGAACUCCAUGUGUAGCGGUGAAAUGCGUAGAUAUAUGGAAGAGCACCAGUGGCGAAAGCGGCUCUCUGGUCUGUAACUGACGCUGAGGUUCGAAAGCGUGGGUAGCAAACAGG
This 253-nucleotide ribosomal RNA is filed under the name uncultured bacterium. Its description in RNAcentral is "partial 16S ribosomal RNA". It matches the Rfam family "Bacterial small subunit ribosomal RNA", at positions 524 to 776 of the family's 1533-position model. The record is from RNAcentral.